CCACUAAAAGAUAAAUUCCGACGAAACAAAAAUGGAGAGUACGAAACCAGAACCAUAUAUGAAAAGGGUAACAUUGAAAUUGAAUAGGUCCAAAGUAAAAUCCAGUGGCGGUGGUGAUGCUUCUGAAAGCAUCCUCGUUUAUAUCCAACUUAGAAGCACAUGCCUCACAGGAAUUGUUCGUUCUUGGAUCAUCACAAACACCAGAGUCACUCCAACACACCCAGGUGGCUACAACUUAGACAGAUGCCUUAACUAUGUUCAUCAUUAGUAGUGGUCUGUGGGUCCCACCACACAAGUUUAUUACCAAAAUUUUGUUCUAGUAUGUGUUUUGGACCAAGACAAUGUUUGGUUUUGCUUUACCCUCUUUCACACACCAUCACAAAAACAAGAAAAAAAAAAAAAAAAAAAAAAACCCACAUGCAUAUAAUUGCAUACAUACCUAUACACGUAUGUAUAAAAAGCCUUAACACAACCACAAACCUAUCCCAAAAGAAUCUUUUCCAAAAUGCCCUUUAUGCCAAACUCCAAAAGGCGUUUACUUAUGCACCACUUUUUUUCUUCUCUCUUUCUUUUCUUCUACAAUAAUGGUACACACACAUCAUAUAUAUGACCCCUAGAUUCUUUUCUUUUUGAACUCUUAACUUGAGAAAGAGUCAUAUAUUUAUAUAAUAAUAUUGCAUAUUAUUAAGUAAAGGGGAAGAAGAGUUUUGAGGAGGAAAAAGAAUUGAAGAAACAAAUUAAUGUGUUACCCGGGAGAUCCUUAUGUUAGCCAAGAAGGGCUUGAUGUGGUGCAUAGAAGAUGGGUUGUUUUCCAGGUGGAAACCGCCGCAAGGCAUGCACAAAGGGCAAUGAUGACGACUACACAGGCUCGUGGCGGCGACAGCUCCGGAGAGAAUGGCCUUAUGAAGCGAUGCGUGUGCUCGCCGUCGCAGCAUCCGGGGUCAUUCCGGUGCAGGCAGCAUCAUGCAGAGUAUGUGUGGCGUGGCAGAACAAAUUAAGUGAUGGUUGAACAUUGAUCUAUAAGAUGUAUUUAAUUCCAGUUAGUACAUACAUGAAUGUUAUAAUAUAUUUAUAAUAGGCAUGCUUAUAAAAUGUUAUAUAUUUCCCCUUCUUUUCAGGAUUGUGUGUGAUAUAAUGAUCACAAAGUUUGUUACGAUACUAGUGUUUUCUCUUUUUAUUGGAAGAGAUGAUACUAGUUUAUGCAACUGGGGGGUUCUUUAAGUUCUUUAUAUAUACUGUUGUGCUAAAAUGGAGCAAUACUAUGGAUAUGGGCUCAAAAGGGAAAGAUUAUUGUGAAUUUUUUGUUAUUUAGGUUUAUGAUGACUGCAGAAACCAUUCGACAAUUCUUUGUUUUUUCCUCUGACUAAUAAGGAUGUUACUUUCUGAAACGAGAAAGAUCAAUCGCAGCAUUUAUUAUUAAAAUGCCAUAACUUUUAAGUAAUUUUUGUAAAG
Molecule: long non-coding RNA, 1452 nt
Filed under: Arachis ipaensis
Lineage: Eukaryota; Viridiplantae; Streptophyta; Magnoliopsida; Fabales; Fabaceae
Description: long non-coding RNA (AIPA_LNC001319)
Source: RNAcentral